Molecule: ribosomal RNA, 447 nt
Filed under: uncultured bacterium
Lineage: Bacteria
Description: bacterial SSU rRNA
Rfam family: Bacterial small subunit ribosomal RNA
Source: RNAcentral
UCGGGAAUUUUGGGCAAUGGGGGAAACCCUGACCCAGCAACGCCGCGUGAAGGAUGAAGUAUUUCGGUAUGUAAACUUCGAAAGAAUAGGAAGAAUAAAUGACGGUACUAUUUAUAAGGUCCGGCUAACUACGUGCCAGCAGCCGCGGUAAUACGUAGGGACCAAGCGUUGUUCGGAUUUACUGGGCGUAAAGGGCGCGUAGGCGGCAUGACAAGUCACUUGUGAAAUCUCUGGGCUUAACCCAGAACGGCCAAGUGAUACUGUCGCGCUAGAGUGCAGAAGGGGCAAUCGGAAUUCUUGGUGUAGCGGUGAAAUGCGUAGAUAUCAAGAGGAACACCUGAGGUGAAGACGGGUUGCUGGGCUGACACUGACGCUGAGGCGCGAAAGCCAGGGGAGCAAACGGGAUUAGAUACCCGUGUAGUCCCUGAGCGGGCUGGCAAGGCGCAU